RNAcentral lists this ribosomal RNA (591 nucleotides) under uncultured bacterium. RNAcentral's name for it is "bacterial SSU rRNA". It matches the Rfam family "Bacterial small subunit ribosomal RNA", at positions 87 to 677 of the family's 1533-position model. The record is from RNAcentral.
AUACAAUAGUGGCGCACGGGUGCGUAACACGUAUGCAACCUACCUUAUACUGGGGGAUAGCCUUUGGAAACGGAGAUUAAUACCCCAUAGCACAUUUAGAUGGCAUCAUUUGAAUGUUAAAGAUUUAUCGGUAUAAGCUGGGCAUGCGUCCAAUUAGUUAGUUGGUGAGGUAAUGGCUCACCAAGACUUUGAUUGGUAGGGGAACUGAGAGGUUAAUCCCCCACACUGGCACUGAGAUACGGGCCAGACUCCUACGGGAGGCAGCAGUAGGGAAUAUUGGGCAAUGGAGGCAACUCUGACCCAGCCAUGCCGCGUGCAGGAAGAAGGCGUUAUGCGUUGUAAACUGCUUUUAUAUAGGAAGAAAUAGUCCUUGCGAGGAAAGUUGACGGUACUAUAUGAAUAAGCACCGGCUAACUCCGUGCCAGCAGCCGCGGUAAUACGGAGGGUGCAAGCGUUGUCCGGAUUUAUUGGGUUUAAAGGGUGCGUAGGCGGUUUAUUAAGUCAGUGGUGAAAGACGGUCGCUCAACGAUUGCAGUGCCAUUGAUACUGGUAGACUUGAGUGGGAUUGAGGUAGCUGGAAUGGAUAGUGUA